UACGGAGGAUCCGAGCGUUAUCCGGAUUUAUUGGGUUUAAAGGGUGCGUAGGUGGUUUGAUAAGUCAGCGGUGAAAGUUUGCAGCUUAACUGUAAAAAUGCCGUUGAAACUGUCGGACUUGAGUGUAAAUGAGGUAGGCGGAAUGCGUGGUGUAGCGGUGGAAUGCAUAGAUAUCACGCAGAACUCCGAUUGCGAAGGCAGCUUACUAAGGUACAACUGACGCUGAAGCACGAAAGCGUGGGUAUCAAACAGG
Molecule: ribosomal RNA, 253 nt
Filed under: uncultured bacterium
Lineage: Bacteria
Description: partial 16S ribosomal RNA
Rfam family: Bacterial small subunit ribosomal RNA
Source: RNAcentral